UACAUGGGGUGCAAACGUUGCUCGGAAUCAUUGGGCGUAAAGCGCACGUAGGCGGUUGCUUAAGUCGGAUGUGAAAGCCCUCGGCUUAACCGAGGAAGUGCAUCCGAAACUGAGCAGCUAGAGUACGAAAGAGGGUCGCGGAAUUCCCGGUGUAGAGGUGAAAUUCGUAGAUAUCGGGAGGAACACCGGUGGCGAAGGCGGCGACCUGGGUCGAGACUGACGCUGAGGUGCGAAAGCGUGGGGAGCAAACAGG
Molecule: ribosomal RNA, 253 nt
Filed under: uncultured bacterium
Lineage: Bacteria
Description: partial 16S ribosomal RNA
Rfam family: Bacterial small subunit ribosomal RNA
Source: RNAcentral